Haliotis rufescens (red abalone) is the source of this 355-nucleotide long non-coding RNA. RefSeq lists it as uncharacterized. The transcript is spliced from 3 exons. Lineage: Eukaryota; Metazoa; Mollusca; Gastropoda; Lepetellida; Haliotidae. The record is from RefSeq and is a predicted model, not a curated record.
GCUUUCGUACGCUACAGCCCUAUAAAAGGUGUCUCCGCGGGGUCACAGCAUUACAGAUUCAACAUGAAGGCUAUCUUUUUCCUCGCUCUGGCGUCCCUCUUUGUCCUUGGUGCCGUUGAAGCCCAGACUGGGUGUGGCCCCAUCACAGUGUGUGUCGAGGACAGGAUCUGCUCUCUCGAGUGUCCCGGAUGUAAUGGCACACCACAUUGCGCACACACCGGCUUCCUCGGCCACUGCGAGUGUAACACCAGCUAGGGCCUCUAGCCUGGGUACGUUUUCUCUGAUGGUGCCGGCAGACAAAGUGAAUAUUUGAUGUACGAAUGUACACAGAAUAAAUCCAUGUCUCUGAUGCAAA